UGCAUUGGGCGAAGGGCGUGACGGAGCAGUUUGAAUCUCCGUCUCUUUCCCGCCAUCGCCGGCGUACAAAUUCUCUUACUCUCCAUACUCACCGGAAACAAUCAAGGGACGUUUGUUUGUCUGGCGAGUCCCUUACUCCGCUUGAGCACACGGAGGUGCCCUCUUUUGCCUUGCGCGAGUGUGCGGGUCGUGUGUGUGUUGUGCACCUGUGCUCUCGUCUUUGCCAUAGCGCACUGCAUGGUACGGCGGCUUCGACUGCCACACAUACACACACAGAUAUUCCACUGUUCAUCACACCAAACAGAUAAGCGAAUGGGCAAGUACGCCGCCGUCAUAAUCGGACCAGCCGGGUCUGGCAAGAGCACCCUGUGCGGCGUUCUGGCCGAGCACUAUGCCACCAUGGGCCGCUCCACCCACAUCGCUAACAUGGACCCCGCGGCGGACUCGCUGCCAUAUGAGCCGUCGAUGGACAUUCGCGACCUCAUCUCGCUCGAGGACGCGAUGGAGGGAAAAGGACUGGGCCCGAACGGCGGCCUUGUCUUCUGCAUGGAGUACCUCGUCACCGCCGGUGCCACGUGGGUGUCGCAGCAGCUCGGCGACUAUGCCGAAGAUUUCAUUAUCGUGGACAUGCCAGGACAGGUGGAGGUGCUGUCGAACCAGCCGGCCGUUCCCGCCUUUGUGCGCCUCCUCCAACAGGAGGGCUACUAUACGACGGUGCUCUAUCUGCUUGACGCGCUCGCCACGACGGCGGACAGCGGCAAGUUCAUUUCGGGCUGCAUGUUCUCGCUUUCCAGCAUGGUCUGCUUCGACUGCCCCUUCAUCAACGUUCUCACGAAAUGCGACUUGCUAAGCAAAGACUUCAAGGAGAACGGCAUGCUGGAGCACUUUUGCAUGUGCGACUUCGACUACAUGGACCUCUCACGGCUUCCGUCGCGCUUCCGUGCCAUGUCGCGCCAAAUCGGAGCGCUGCUCGCGGACUUCAAUCUGGUGACCUUUCGCCCGGUAGACAUCGAGGAUGUGGGGUACGUGAGCAACCUAUGCAGUGUGCUGGAUGAGACACUGCAGGUGGCGGAUGAGGCGGAGGUUCAGGAUCACGACUUGGCCGACAACUGACCCAAAACCGAACCUGUUCUCUUCAAUAGCGCGCAUGUGAUGUUGCAUCCGUGCUAGCCUCUCUCUAUCUAUGUAUGUGUUGUGUAACGAACCUUCCAUCGAGUAAUCAAGGACGCUGUGUAUGCGUUCAAGCCGCUUCUUGUCGUUGGGUACACAUGCAUACAUACAUACGGCUAUAUAUAUAUAGAGAGAGAGAGAGAAACGUAUGCAUGUAUGCAUGUGUCUUGUCGUGUGGCCUCCGUUGCUGUUGCGCUACGGCGUUCACAAAUGGCGCAGCGCAUGUACAUGUCUAAGGGCGGUUACACAGAGUCCUCCGCAACACUGAUGGGCCGGUCCCCGCUUCUUUUUCGUGUCUCCGCGCUUCGCCGUCUUCCCUUCCACAUGUGGCGGCGGCUUCCCCUCCCUCUCCACAACGCGAAUCCUUCGUUCAACUGCGCAGGCGCACCCUGAACGUGCGUCUUUCUGCUCACUAAGUGAUGCGUAUGGAGUGUGCGGGACAGCGUCGUUGCCGUCGUCCUUGUCCGGACUUGUGUAAAGACGCAUUCGAAGAGAACAGCUGCAGCGCCUGUCGGCACUUUCUCUUCGCUAGCUUCGUGAGUGUUCUUGCACUGUGCGGUGGGGACUCUGCACGUGGUGCUUCUUCUCUCGCAAGUGGGCCCCAAAUAGAGAACGAAUGCCGCUGCUCUUCUCGCGCGGAUGUGCCAUGCGGGGAGAGGGGAAGGGUUGGAGGUCCGCAGUGGAGCGUCGACAGAUGGGGCGGCAGCGAUCAUGACGCAGCACAGGUUUAUGCAACAUGUCACUGCCAUUGUGCACCUCAUUCCCUUUUUCUAUGUGGUACUCUUGCACCACAAUCCUCUCCUCGUCCUACUGAAG
This 1986-nucleotide unclassified non-coding RNA is filed under the name Leishmania donovani. RNAcentral describes it as "gene:LdHU3.25.1770(CDS-product:Conserved_hypothet ical_ATP_binding_protein_putative)". Lineage: Eukaryota; Euglenozoa; Kinetoplastea; Trypanosomatida; Trypanosomatidae. The record is from RNAcentral.